UGGGGUAUAGCUCAGUGGUAGAGCACAUGUUUAGCAUGCACAAGGUCCUGGGUUCACUCUCCAGUACCUUCA
This 72-nucleotide transfer RNA is filed under the name Camelus bactrianus (Bactrian camel). It matches the Rfam family "tRNA". Rfam says of the family: Transfer RNA (tRNA) molecules are approximately 80 nucleotides in length. Their secondary structure includes four short double-helical elements and three loops (D, anti-codon, and T loops). RNAcentral also lists the same sequence under 1 other name. The record is from Rfam by way of RNAcentral. Lineage: Eukaryota; Metazoa; Chordata; Mammalia; Artiodactyla; Camelidae.